Molecule: ribosomal RNA, 950 nt
Filed under: Tremella conidiopunctelia
Lineage: Eukaryota; Fungi; Basidiomycota; Tremellomycetes; Tremellales; Tremellaceae
Description: Tremella sp. AMM-2022d partial large subunit ribosomal RNA
Rfam family: Eukaryotic large subunit ribosomal RNA
Source: RNAcentral
GACCUCAGAUCAGGUAGGACUACCCGCUGAACUUAAGCAUAUCAAUAAGCGGAGGAAAAGAAACUAACAAGGAUUCCCCUAGUAGCGGCGAGCGAAGCGGGAUGAGCUCAAAUUUGUAAUCUGACGUCCCCCGGGCGUCCGAGUUGUAAAUUCAAGAAACGUUUUCCGCGCCGGCCGCGUCCAAGUCCCCUGGAAUGGGGUAUCAAAGAGGGUGAGAAUCCCGUGCUUGACGUGACCACCGGGGCUAUGUGAUACGUUCUCUACGAGUCGAGUUGUUUGGGAAUGCAGCUCUAAACGGGUGGUAAAUUCCAUCUAAGGCUAAAUACUGGCGAGAGACCGAUAGCGAACAAGUACCGUGAGGGAAAGAUGAAAAGCACUUUGUAAAGAGAGUUAAACAGUAUGUGAAAUUGUUGAAAGGGAAACGAUUGAAGUCAGUCGUGUCCAUCGGAUUCAGCCGGUCCUGCCGGUGCACUUCCUUUGGAUGGGUCAACAUCAGUUCUGCCCGACGGAAAGGGGCAGGGGGAUGAACGUAGCACCCUCGGGUGUGGUAUAGCCUCCUGUCACAAAACGUCGGUCGGGACUGAGGAACGCAGCUCGCCCUCUGGGCCGGGGGUCCGCCCCACGUACGAGCUUAGGAUGUUGGCAUAAUGGCUUUAAACGACCCGUCUUGAAACACGGACCAAGGAGUCUAACAUAUGUGCGAGUGUUAGGGUGUCAAACCCGGACGCGUAAUGAAAGUGAUCAUGGAGGGAUCCGCAAGGAGCACCUUUGACCGAUCUAGAGCCUCGGCGACGGAUUUGAGUAAGAGCAUGUAUGCUGGGACCCGAAAGAUGGUGAACUAUGCUUGAAUAGGACGAAGCCAGGGGAAACUCUGGUGGAGGUCCGUAGCGAUUCUGACGUGCAAAUCGAUCGUCAAAUUUGGGUAUAGGGGCGAAAGACUAAUCGAACCA